CCACUCGGGACUUGUCUGGACGAGCCGAAACGAGUUAACAUCCCGCACCGCCCGAAGUUUCGAGAAGCGGUGGCGAGAAGCCGGUAAAACUGCCGUCGACAUUGUCUUGUUUCCCUCGUCCGAAAGGAUGUCUUGCUACGUCGUUGAAGUGGCAUGCAGCCGCCGGACUUGUGCUCAGCUGUGCAGCGUCAUAGCCUCUGAUCCACUGCGGCCGGAAUGCGAUGUGGCAGCCCAGCUCCAUACCUGUCGCGCACAUAUCCACGAGAGCAUCGGUGACGGAAGACAGUUUGCCUUGAAGAAAUAAGCAGGUCCUAAUUAAAGAAACAGUACCUUUGAAGUCAAAGUACAUUGCACGUG
Long non-coding RNA from Dermacentor silvarum, 357 nucleotides. RefSeq lists it as uncharacterized. Lineage: Eukaryota; Metazoa; Arthropoda; Arachnida; Ixodida; Ixodidae. The transcript is spliced from 3 exons. The record is from RefSeq and is a predicted model, not a curated record.